CGGCUCAACCGGAAACAUGCCGUUGAUACUGUAUAGCUUGAAUAUGGUUGCUGUGAGUGGAAUGUGUAGUGUAGCGGUGAAAUGCUUAAAUAUUACACAGAAUAUCGAUUGCGAAGGCAACUCACAAAGCCAAUAUUGACGCUGAGGCACGAAAGUGUGGGGAUCAAACAGGAUUAGAUACCCUGGUAGUCCACACUGUAAACGAUGAUAACUAGCUGUCGGCGAUAGACCGUCGGUGGCCAAGCGAAAGCGAUAAGUUAUCCACCUGGGGAGUACGACCGCAAGGUUGAAACUCAAAGGAAUUGACGGGGGCCCGCACAAGCGGAGGAACAUGUGGUUUAAUUCGAUGAUACGCGAGGAACCUUACCCGGGCUCGAACGGUGCAGUAAUAUGGUAAAGAUAUCAUAGCUAGCAAUAAACUGUAUCGAGGUGCUGCAUGGUUGUCGUCAGCUCGUGCCGUGAGGUGUCGGCUUAAGUGCCAUAACGAGCGCAACCCUUGUCGUUAGUUACCACCAAGUAAAGUUGGGGACUCUAGCGAGACUGCCACCGUAAGGUGUGAGGAAGGGGGGGAUGACGUCUAAUCAGCACGGCCCUUACGUCCGGGGCGACACACGUGUUACAAUGGUAGGUACAGACGGCCGCUACCCAGUGAUGGGGUGCCAAUCUCAUAAACCUAUCUCAGUUCGGAUCGCUACUCUGCAACUCGACUCCGUGAAGUUGGAUUCGCUAGUAAUCGCGCAUCACCCAUGGUGACGAUGAAUACGUU
Molecule: ribosomal RNA, 766 nt
Filed under: uncultured bacterium
Lineage: Bacteria
Description: bacterial SSU rRNA
Rfam family: Bacterial small subunit ribosomal RNA
Source: RNAcentral